Molecule: RNase P RNA, 398 nt
Filed under: Aggregatimonas sangjinii
Lineage: Bacteria; Pseudomonadati; Bacteroidota; Flavobacteriia; Flavobacteriales; Flavobacteriaceae
Description: RNase P RNA component class A
Rfam family: Bacterial RNase P class A
About the family: Ribonuclease P (RNase P) is a ubiquitous endoribonuclease, found in archaea, bacteria and eukarya as well as chloroplasts and mitochondria. Its best characterised activity is the generation of mature 5'-ends of tRNAs by cleaving the 5'-leader elements of precursor-tRNAs.
Source: RNAcentral
UCAGCAGGUCACCCUAUCGUUUUAUGCUGAACUUGUUUCAGCACCUUUUGAAUUUCAAGAGGUCUCGAAUCAAGUUCGGGAUAAAGAGGAAAGUCCGGACACCGUAGUGCAACAUAGCGGGUAACACCCGUCUCCGUCCACCAUUUGGCGGACGGACGGACAAGUGCAACAGAAAGAAUGUACAGUUCGGCUGUAGUGAAAUCAGGUAAACUCUAUGUGGUGAAACGUCAUGUAAACCGGUGUUUGAGGGCUGCACGCCCGAGCCGAAGGGUAGACGGUUAGAGCCUUUGGGCAACCUAAGGCCUAGAUAAAUGAUAGGGAACCUUUGGUAGUGCUUUGGGGUUUAACCUGAAACAAGACCAGGGUGUACAGAAUCCGGCUUAUGGCCUGCUUUUUUU